RNAcentral lists this ribosomal RNA (492 nucleotides) under uncultured bacterium. RNAcentral's name for it is "partial 16S ribosomal RNA". It matches the Rfam family "Bacterial small subunit ribosomal RNA", at positions 29 to 507 of the family's 1533-position model. The record is from RNAcentral.
AGUGAACGCUGGCGGUAGGCCUAACACAUGCCAGUCGAACGGCAGCACAGUAAGAGCUUGCUCUUACGGGUGGCGAGUGGCGGACGGGUGAGGAAUACAUCGGAAUCUACCUUUUUGUGGGGGAUAACGUAGGGAAACUUACGCUAAUACCGCAUACGACCUACGGGUGAAAGCAGGGGAUCUUCGGACCUUGCGCGAUUGAAUGAGCCGAUGUCGGAUUAGCUAGUUGGCGGGGUAAAGGCCCACCAAGGCGACGAUCCGUAGCUGGUCUGAGAGGAUGAUCAGCCACACUGGAACUGAGACACGGUCCAGACUCCUACGGGAGGCAGCAGUGGGGAAUAUUGGACAAUGGGCGCAAGCCUGAUCCAGCCAUACCGCGUGGGUGAAGAAGGCCUUCGGGUUGUAAAGCCCUUUUGUUGGGAAAGAAAAGCAGCAGGUUAAUACCCCGCUGUUCUGACGGUACCCAAAGAAUAAGCACCGGCUAACUUCGUG